Molecule: long non-coding RNA, 860 nt
Organism: Pollicipes pollicipes
Lineage: Eukaryota; Metazoa; Arthropoda; Thecostraca; Pollicipedomorpha; Pollicipedidae
Exons: 2
Source: RefSeq, a predicted model, not a curated record
GUGACGCUCCGCAGUCGGCUGACCUCGCCGGCAGUGGGCGAGGCUGGUUCUGGACCGUGUUCCAGUCGCCACCGUGUCCGCUGAGGUCAUGCACCAAUGGCCAGCUAUGCGUGCUUGGCCGCUGCCUGGAGAGCACCAGUCUUCGCGUCUCGUGCCUCCUGGACGGUGACUGCGCUGCCGGCUACUCUUGUGACGUGCUCGGGCUGGGCACCUGUCGCACGAGCCGGGCCACCGCAACCGUGGACGAGCCGCACCGACGACUGCCUCUCAAUGCGGAGUUGCCGGCGGCCAGCACAGCCGUGGCGCCGUCACAGGGCACCACAGCGCCACCUGUUUUGCGGCGCCACCCGAGCGCCACCGCCGACCGUCCACCGGCGGCACGCGCUGCCCACCUCCACACCGGACUCCUGUGCCUCUCAGGCCGACAGUGCGCGAGCGGCGUCUGCGUACGGCGCGGUCUCGGCGUCUGCCGUCCGACGCCGGCCUGCCAGUGUGCCGACGACCACUACUGUGGCGACGGCGGGGUGUGCACGGUCAGGAAGGAGGCAGGCGCCGUCUGCACGACUGGCGAGCAGUGUCGGUCGGCGCGCUGCGUGCGCACGCCGUCGGGGUCACUGUGCGCCUGCCUCUCAUGUGACGAGUGCUCUCCGGGGGAUCAGUGUGUGCAAUUCGAAUGCAUUGCUGCCCCGUCUACUGAGAUGAACGCGGUUACGGAACUUGUUGUGAAAUAUCGCUGAAUGGUGCAAUUUACAAUUGCAGCUGACGCGUAACUAAACAGAAGCACGAUGUUAAGUUCAAUAGUUUUAGAACUUGUAAGUUUUUCCGACGGCUGUUUGGAAAGCAUUACAAAAUGACACACA